RNAcentral lists this unclassified non-coding RNA (2683 nucleotides) under Dendronephthya gigantea. RNAcentral describes it as "uncharacterized LOC114533811, transcript variant X2". The record is from RNAcentral. Lineage: Eukaryota; Metazoa; Cnidaria; Anthozoa; Malacalcyonacea; Nephtheidae.
GGUCAGGAAAUUGGCCAGUUGAAAUUGAACAGGAAAUGGUAGAGGUCUUCGUAUAUGAGAUAUAUGCGUGGGCUUUUUCUCUCAUUCCAAGUGAGGCCUGACUACGGUAAAGAGUAGUGCAUUUUGACUAUCAACAAAUCUGCGUAAAUCGCUCCAAAAUUUACUGAAGGAUAUAGGACGAAGGUGAAGCAGGUUUUGUUUGAAUAAUUCACACGAUUCUUUCUAAACGCUUUGGAAGAUGUCCAUUAUUCUCUAACGCGCGUUUACAAAUAUUCGCAGGAAAAUGGAGGAAUUAUUAAGCGUCGAAGAUGAGCUGUUUUUAUUCGAGACUUUUUUGAAAUUGUCAAGUCAGAGUUACAUCGACGAGACAGAAGGGUUUCUCUCUGAGGACGAAAGCGACGUACCGCUGUCACAUUAUUUUAUUUACGAAAAAGAGUCUGAACAAUGUCCAAGUCCAGUGGAAACUAUACCCUCUCCCACCUCACCACAGCAGUUCUUUCCCCAAAUCUACCCAAGAAGCCCCUCCCCAUGUGAAUCACCCACAUCCCUCUUCCCUCCGAUACGAUUAGAGAGCAUUCUCUUCCCAGACCCCGCAACACCUCCACUUGCAACACCGCCACCUACACCCACGCCUCUCCCACCACAGACCCCCCAAUAUACAAUCCAAGAGUUCAAGCCGGAGCCGUUACCCCAACCUAUGUUCUCCCCCCCUCCUCCAGAGGCAGAAUCGGCCGGGGUUCACUUUAUCGACCUCAAAGACCUUUAUGAGAAAGCGCAGGUGAGACGGAGGGGGACCUCAGAACAACGACUGGUCGACUGUCGAAUACACAUGGUUGCCAAUUUCUCCUCAAUACCGAGCAACGUACAAGUCUGGGUCCGAAGAUUUGCUGAGAUCAAGGGAUUUCAAAGUACAGUAGAGUUACCCGUAACCAUCGAAAAAACUUUGCCCAACAUGCAAUAUUUCUCAGUAAAUUUGGAUGCCGUCUACAUGACAUCAUUAGGAAAGAAGUUUUAUCAACUCAGUACGACUGAUAGGUUGAGAAAGAACCGUUUCGUGAUUCACGUCAACUUAAUCUUCGAGGACAACAGUGCAGCACAAUUCAAGAGUGAACCUUUCUUAAUCAGAAGUCGAAAACUGUCCCCAAACCCACGAAAGCCACGCUCCUAUAGCGCCUCAUAAUACUCUGAGGAAUCAUUCAGAGAUAUGCUAAAAAAAGAAAGGAUGCAAAACCUCGACAAAAAACAAACACUCAAGUCAAGAGUUGUUACAAUAAUCAUUUCAGCAAAGAAUGACAUGGACACGGAAGAUAUUCAGUAUAGAGGAUAUUGAAAAAUCCUUGCACGUAGCAAAGCUAAUUAAAUUUAAACCUGGAUUAUCCAAAGGACGUUCAUUACUUCAUUUUUUUUAACGCCAAGUAUCGAGGAGUUUUGACAGAACAACCAAAUCCAAAAGGCUGAGCUAGCGAGCUUAAGAGAAGAACUCAGCCUUGAACUUGGUUAGUUAUGAAUUUCUUGCGAAAAAAUUCUCUGAGCUACGAUUUCUAAAAUGUGAUCCAGUAGCACAAGGAAGUAGUGAGUUUAACUUGCACCAAAUUUAUGACAUGAAACUGGGUUCCUGAUACUACGGCUAGCUCUUCUCGUUUCACGUCCGGUGUCAUAGAUUUGGUGAUUCAUAAACUCGCUACUUGUGAGAUACAAGAAGUGUCGUGUGGGAAGUGAUUGACACGAGUGUUUUACACAGUACGGAGCGAAACGUGCUGCAUUUCAUGUAUCUAAACUACUCAAUGUUUUUAGUGCAAUAUUCUGCGUUUUGUCUGAUAACGACGUACAUUCAUCAGAUAAUGAUGAACAUUUAUCACAUAUCGCCAUUUCAUUUCAGGAUUUUAAGCUGUAAAUAGAGCUUGUUCUUUCUUUCUUUCGUUCUGUUGAAGAUUAAAUGCAAACGUUCAGAGAUUCAUCAUCGUCUGCUGGCGUGUACGUUUAACUAAAUCCAAAAUCAGACGAAGUUAGCUGGGCUGAGAGGAACCUGCUUAUUUCUAUUGUUAAAUUUACCUGCCCGACAUCACUUAAUUAUUUAUGAAACCAUCAGUGAUUUUUGGUCAAAACAAAUUUUACAAGUCAACAAUAUUCUAACAAAGAUUUUAGUAAAAUCGUCUGUUUUGGAAGUCCGGUAUUCUCUAGCAUUAUAAAGGAAACCCGAGAGAAAUGCUCACAAAGGAACAAUACUGAAACCUCAAGUCAAUCAUGUUUCCAAUCUUAAAAAAUGACACCCUCAAGAAAUACAUACAUACUACAAUAAUGCCUGAACAUUUGACCCUAACCGGGUUUCCAAAUCCUCGGAACAAUCAUACAGGAACAUUGACCUCAUCGAUGGGUACCAGACUUCGAGAGAGGAACGUCCGGUUACAUAAUGAAAAUGUAUCGCUGUACAUGUUCAUUGGACUGUUUGUCGCUUUUGUACUUAUCAGCACUUUCGUAAUCUCGGUUGAACUAUAUAAAAGUGGGAGAUGUAAAUGGCAAACUAGAGCCAUGAAAAAAUUUGAUUAUACUUAUGGCAUAUGAGCCGGCUCUGGGAAAAGAAAAGAAGUGCUUAUCUAUUUCCCCAAUGGCUGGCUUUCUCUGCAACUUUUCAAAUUCAUAUUUCAAAAUAUCUGGCAUUGAAAACAACUCAAGAUUUUCUACU